GGCUAUUUGAAAGAGAAGGAGCAGCUGGUGAAAGCACAGAAGGGAUGAACUCACACCAUUUUUACUUGCUGUAAGUGAGAACAAACAGCAAAUGGUGGAAUUUUUAAUAGAAAAAGAAGCAAAUGUACAUGCAGUUGAUAAGUUGCAAAGAACAGCCCUCAUGCUUGCUGUACAUUAUGAUUCUGCAGAUCUAGUCAGGGUUCUUCUUCAGCAAGGUAUUAAUAUCUUUUCUGAAGAUGCGUGUGGAUGGACUGCAGAAGAAUAUUCUAUUUUUAAUGAUC
Neomonachus schauinslandi (Hawaiian monk seal) is the source of this 281-nucleotide long non-coding RNA. RefSeq lists it as uncharacterized. The record is from RefSeq and is a predicted model, not a curated record. The transcript is spliced from 3 exons. Lineage: Eukaryota; Metazoa; Chordata; Mammalia; Carnivora; Phocidae.